UACAGAGGGGGCAAGCGUUGUUCGGAAUUACUGGGCGUAAAGGGCGCGUAGGCGGUCCUUCAAGUCAGGCGUGAAAGCCCCGGGCUCAACCUGGGAACCGCGCUUGAGACUGGCGGACUCGAGUUCGGGAGAGGAUGGUGGAAUUCCCAGUGUAGAGGUGAAAUUCGUAGAUAUUGGGAAGAACACCGAUGGCGAAGGCAGCCAUCUGGACCGACACUGACGCUGAGGCGCGAAAGCGUGGGGAGCAAACAGG
RNAcentral lists this ribosomal RNA (253 nucleotides) under uncultured bacterium. RNAcentral describes it as "partial 16S ribosomal RNA". It matches the Rfam family "Bacterial small subunit ribosomal RNA", at positions 524 to 776 of the family's 1533-position model. The record is from RNAcentral.